GUGCUAGUUGCCACAAACUUAAGCACUGCACGUUUAAAUCCUCCUUUACCUUUUGACUCAUAGGGUACUUUCAGGGUUUCUCUAUUGGCAAACGCCUCCACAACCAUAGACCCUUCACACGCAUUGUUAGCAUCUCCCACUGUAAAGAAAAGUUGAUACGUCUUCCCAACAAUUGUUCUAGCCACUUGGGCUAUUGCACUCUCUUUACCUGCUACAAGUUCGACUGCCCGUCGACCUUGUGGCACUGAAAAAUGGUUAGCAUCAAUGUACUUGACCGCUUUUAGUGACUCAACCAUCCAAGCCGGAAGUGGAGAGUGGUCAUCUUCUAUGUUUGGUGGUACUAACACACCCCAUGUAGUGUUUGGGAAUAUAUAGGGGCCUUCUUCGAAUCCUCCGUUUUUCAAUAUAUUAUCUGCAUCAAAUUGACUCGUAUAAGCAAAAUGUACAUUCAUUUAAGAAGUUGUUAUCACCUUAUNNNNNNNNNNNNNNNNNNNNNNNNNNNNNNNNNNNNNNUAUAUAUAUAUAUAUAUAGUUUAGAUAAUAAUAUGUGAUGUUAUGGAAAUGGGACAUCAUUUAAUGAGAAACACAUGGAUGAGGUGCCAAUUUUGCAUCCACAAGACCUCAUGCAUCAAUGCCACCAAGUACUUGGAUUUUGUGUAGCAAAAGUGCAUUAAAGUGCUAGAUUUUGUAAUCGAACUAUUAUGACAACUUGCAUACAAAAAGGGCCAUUAUUUAAUAAUUCAAAGCGAAGUGGUCCUCUUUCUAGAUGUUGAUUUACUAAAACUCUCAUAAUAUACAACUGUUAUGAUGUUAUGAUGUUACGAUGAUAUACAGUUGUAGCCUAUAAUCUCUAGGAUAUUUUCGCCAUGAACAUCUUAAAUAAUAAAAACCCUAAAAAGAAUGCAAUUAUACAAUUUCAAAUAAUGAAAGAUUUUUAAAAAGCCAAUAACUUAAUAUGAGUUUUUCAAUAAAAUGUCUAUAAGUGGCUNNNNNNNNNNNNNNNNNNNNNNNNNNNNNNNNNNNNNNNNNNNNNNNNNNNNNNNNNNNNNNNNNNNNNNNNNNNNNNNNNNNNNNNNNNNNAACCACAAUAUAUAUAUAUAUAUAUAUAUAAAAUCAUAUUCAAUUUCUUAAAUAAUUUUAUAAUCCUACCUAAUAAAUGAAAAUAAUUUUGCUACAUGUCACCCUCUCAUUAACUUGGACACAUGUUAUUUUUUGGUAUUUUUGAUUAAAUGUUUUUUUCAUUUGUCAUUUUCUUAUUUUUUAUCUUUUCUUAAUUAACACAUCAUAUUUACACCUCAAUUAAUAAUUACCUUAAAUGAAAAUAACCAAUAAAUUAUAAUAUUACUACUCAUAUAAUAUUUAAUAUGAUUCAUUUUAAAUUCAAAUUUUUAAUAGAUUUGAAAUUUAAAUAAAUUUUUGUUUAAACUUUGAUAUUUAAUUUUUUGUUUUAUCGAAUCCGUAUACAUACGGGUCUCACACCUAAUGCUUAACAUUUUACAAACUAUAAAGGUAAAUUAUAUAUGGUAAGUUAACACUUUAUAAAAAAUUUAUAACUUAUUAACUAAUAAUAUUUAUAUUAAUUUAAUUCGGACCCGACCCACCAAAUAAAUUUUGACAGGUCCCAUAAUCGCUACUUAACCAGCUUAGACCGAGCGUUAGUAUUGAAUUAGGACCUUUUUAUACUACUUUCACUGUUAACCGAAUCAUUCUUUUUUUAGUCUGUUCUAAUAGUUAUAUCUAGAAAUCGAGUUACCUUUUGAUGGUUUAGGAGGAUACAAAGCUUUGAUAGCAAUGGAAUCAAUAAGCGGGCCACAUGCUGGAUCCUCCUCGACUCCUGGAUUAUGUAGCUUAAUAGUAACUUGAUUGUACUCAGCCUGAAAAGCCCAUGCAUAUGAAUCCCAUCCGCUACUACUAUACAAUGUUUGCAUCGGUAGCACCCCAAAAUCGGGUGCUACCGACACAUUUAGUGUCUCUUCUUGAGCACACGUUCGAGCAGCACUAAACGUGAUGGAAUAAUACAUUCCUUUUGUCACGUUUAUUGUUUGCUCGAUUGUUGCUUCAUUUCCUAGCCUAACUGCAUAGGCUCCCUCGGGGACAACUAGCAACAUGUCCCCUUGUUUUUGGCCUGAUUUGAUGUACUCAACGAAUCCAAAGAUUGUCCACCCUGGGAUGGCAUCGUGCUUUAGCACCUCCGUGCCUUUCAUAUCUGCAGGUUUCGGUCCAAGCUCGAAAUUUCCAUUCCAUAACAACCCUGUAAAAAAAUUACAAGCAAAAGAAGAAUCAUGCAUUGUGUCUUUUUUGUUUCACAUAUUGAUAUAAUAAACAAGUUACAAUCAGAUGCAACAAAAUUUCACCCUUUUUUUUCUAACGUGCUUCAUAAGAAAUAUGCAAUGAUGCUUCCUUUUAACACCAAAAGGUAGAAUAUCUUACAACAUAACAUAUAUUAUUUGUUGAAACAUGAUUGCAUAAUUUGUGUUAGUUGUGUAACCGGUGAAAAACAAAACAUUGUUAUAUAUGAUAAAAAGAUGGAAACUGUUUCAUAAAUUUGUUACGAUGAUGAAACAUAUAAAUAAACAUUUAUAAAAUGAAACGUGGUUGAAUAUUUUAAUUUUGUUUUGCUUUCAAAAUAAACAUUUAUAGGAGUCAAGCGGUUAAGGUGCCUCCACACAUGAAGUCUAAGAGUUUGAACUUUGACACUUUAAAAGUCUUAUUAAUGUUUUGCGCUUCACCUUUUACAUGGAUCGCCUAGGACGAGUUAUCAUACGUUGUUCAAAUGAUGUGAUUUACUAAUUAAAAUAAAAUAAUAUUACAAAAUUGUCUAAAAACUAUUUUAAAAAAAAUGUAAAGUAUUGCUUAACAAAGUCCUAUUCAACCACAUUAAAUAUAGAAGAUUUUAUUGUUUGUUUAAAUAGGAAAAAAUUAAAUUCCAUCAGAUCGACGUCCAUCAAGUUUCAUUCUAAUUCUAGACAGAGUGUCGUGAACAUGUGCCCACCCACGUGCAUAUGCAGACUGUUCAUCUAAAACCAUCUGUGUUGAUUGUACAAUUACUUAAAGGCCAAAUAAAUUAUAUAUAUCGACAAAAUAGAUAUUUCUCACUUGGAUAAAAGAUACACUCGUAUAUUUAAAUUUUAUUUAUUUAUCCUUAACUGAAAUAUACAUAUUAUAUUAACAUUAAUUAACAUGUUCCUUGAGUUUUUAACUUUGUUUCAUUUUCAUGUCACAUAUUAAUAACUUAUUUGAAUUAGUUUAUUAAAUUUUAUAAAUAUAAAAUUCAUAUUAUAUAUUGUAUAAGUAUAACUAUUAUGUGAAAAUUAAACUGUAAUUGAUUCGUACACAACAGUUAAAUUUAUACUAUAUAUUCGUACACAACAAUUCUUUUUUAUACAAAACAAUUUAUAUUUCAAAAUAUCGUAUUAUACAACUUUAUAAAACAUAAAUUGUUGUGAAUGGAAAAAAACUUAUUUUGUUCUAAUCCUUUCUUAUACAAAAUAUUGUUAGAAACUUGAUUUGCUAUCUCCCAAAUAUUGUUAUAAAACUUGUAUUUUUUAUACUUUGAAAAUGUAAUACCAAUGCUUGUUCCAUAACUAAUAACUCGGUCAAAAAAAUAUAUUGUACCAUAAACUAGUUAUUGUAUUUGUUAAAGUGCAUAAAAAAAUAUUAAAAUAUGAUUAGAACGAAAUUAGAAUUGUAAUAGUUAGCUGGUAAGAUGAAGAAGCAGAUAUUUUAAUUCUUAUGAAGUAAUAAAGUAUCAUGAGAAAUGGAGGUGAGAGGAUUGUGGGUUACCGUCGGAGACUACAGCGGCGGUGUGGACGGUGGCGCAUAGCAGCAACACCGACAGCACGGUGGCUGCUUCAAUUAUUGAAACCCUGUGCAUUUGGAGAGAAGGAAUGAGAGAGAAAGAGAGUGGGAUAAAGUUGUUUUGGAGUGGAA
This 3930-nucleotide long non-coding RNA is filed under the name Lactuca sativa (garden lettuce). RNAcentral describes it as "long non-coding RNA (LSAT_LNC006295)". Lineage: Eukaryota; Viridiplantae; Streptophyta; Magnoliopsida; Asterales; Asteraceae. The record is from RNAcentral.